Molecule: ribosomal RNA, 506 nt
Filed under: uncultured bacterium
Lineage: Bacteria
Description: bacterial SSU rRNA
Rfam family: Bacterial small subunit ribosomal RNA
Source: RNAcentral
CACACGAGUUUGAUCCUGGCUCAGAUUGAACGCUAGCGGCAUGCUAACACAUGCAAGUCGACGACGAAAGUCCUUCGGGGCGAGUAGAGUGGCGGACGGGUGAGUAACGCGUGGGAAUCUACCCUAGAGCGGGGGACAACCCGGGGAAACCCGGGCUAAUACCGCAUACGUCCUACGGGAGAAAGAGGGCCUCUGCUUGCAAGCUCUCACUCCAGGAUGAGCCCACGUCCGAUUAGCUAGUUGGUAGGGUAAAGGCCUACCAAGGCCACGAUCGGUAGCUGGUCUGAGAGGAUGAUCAGCCACACUGGGACUGAGACACGGCCCAGACUCCUACGGGAGGCAGCAGUGGGGAAUAUUGGACAAUGGGCGCAAGCCUGAUCCAGCAAUGCCGCGUGUGUGAAGAAGGCCUGCGGGUUGUAAAGCACUUUCAGUGGGGAAGAACAGAUUCGGGUCAAUACCCCGGAGCCCUGACGUUACCCACAGAAGAAGCACCGGCUAACUCCGUG